Molecule: long non-coding RNA, 1843 nt
Organism: Pyrus x bretschneideri (Chinese white pear)
Lineage: Eukaryota; Viridiplantae; Streptophyta; Magnoliopsida; Rosales; Rosaceae
Exons: 3
Source: RefSeq, a predicted model, not a curated record
CCACCUCAUUUGGAUGGUAAUGCCUUGGAUAAAGAAGAGCAUUGCUUGAAGAGUCUUCAAGCACUUGACAAAGAUGGAAGACUGACACCUCUAGGGAGGGCUAUGAAUCAUUAUCCUAUGGGUCAUCGUCACUCUAGGAUGCUCACUGUUAUUCAAGUCUUGAUUGAGAAGAGUUUCGGAGCUAAGUUAGUCCUAGCAUGCGCAGUUGCAGCUGCUGCUGCUUUGAGUUUGUCAAGAAGGCCAUGACUUAAUGAGUCCAGUCACCGCUCAAUUCAAUUGAGUCCAGUCAGUGUUUACCAUGUGGUCACUCCUUCUCCUCCGGCGACUAUUUCUCGCCGUCUCCGGCUGCACUAACGUUUAACGCCUCUCGAACCCCCACUCUCUCUUCCACUUUCUCUCACAUUGCUUCUGUAGAACCACUUUUUCAAUAAGCAGCUUCUUCCCAACCCCUCUCCAUUUCAAAACCCCGGCCCGCCCGACUUUUCUCGCUCGUGCCGCCGUUUCUCUUUAGCCUUCGCCCAUUCGCCUCACAUUUCUUCGUGUUCCAAAUAUAUAUAAUGGGUUGCUUCUGAGAUGGUCAUGGGGGCAUUCCACCGGCUUGUUAAAUUUCUGGGGUUUUAACUGCCUUUUCAGGAUCUAUAAGCAUAUUCAGAUAUGCCUGAACUGGUCGAGCAUCUCCGUAAAUCGCGUCUCCUGCUUUGUAUCUUUGUUGCAUUCCUGUUAAAUACUCUUGCGACUUCGGAUAUUCCCUUGGGUUCCAAAAUUUCUGUAGCUGAUAAAAACAUAUGGAUCUCUCCAAAUGGUGAUUUUGCAUUUGGAUUUUUUAACCGUUCGGACCAGCCAAACUAUAGUUUCGGGAUCCGUCUCAUUUCGAAAUCAUUUCCUCUUGACCAACAAUUUUUGGUAUGGAGUGCUGCAGCUGAUCUUAUUGUUGGUAACAAUUCUUAUGCCCAGCUGACCCAGGAUGGCGAACUAGUUUUAUUCGAUUCCUUGAAGAGUGUCACUGCAUGGACCAGUAAAACAAGGCAGUUAUCAGUUGUUUCUGCUGCUCUUAAUGACAAUGGAAAUCUUGUUCUAUUGAAUCAAGAGAAACAUAUUGUUUGGCAAAGUUUUGAUACUCCAUCCGACAUACUUCUUCCUGGACAGAGCUUCUCUACAUUGCAAACACUUGGAGCUGCAAGCAAGAAUUGUGUGUCCAGUUACUACACUCUUUUUAUGUGUUGUGGCUCCUUGAAACCAUUCUGUUGUUUGCCCUAAUUUGAUUUUUACAUGAAGGGAAAGCAGACGGAGGAGAUAGAUCAAAGACAGGUUUGCGCUUGAAAAUGUGUCUCGCGCCUCUCACAUGACACCACUUAACAGAAAGUUUGAUGAAAUUUUCUUAAAUAUAAAGGUAGGGAGUUAUUUGGUUGUCUUGUACUAGUUAAAGGGAUAGAUGGGCAAGAAAAAUAGUUAAGGGGUGACUAGCAGCCUGUGUGAUAGUUCCGUGAGGGGCGGAUUUAGUUUUUUCCUGGGUUCUGUAAACUUGUGCAGAUGGGACUGUACACAACCUUGAUGGUUACUUUCAGAUCCAUGCUAAAUAUGUGGUGACAGGAACACGAGUUGAUGUGACCUAAUGCAGCUUUUUUUCCCCAGAUUCCUUAAUGUAUGGUAAUUCUCUUGUCAGCUGGACCUAGUAUUUAUAAGGCUUCCGACUGAGUUGCUGCAUCGCAUUGGGGAUUAGUUCAUUCCAUUUCCAGCUGCAUUUUCCUUUUUCCUUUGUGCUUCUGAGAAUUGGGUUUUGCCUUAAAGAUUGUAUGGAGCAUUGCAUCUUUUACUUGAAUGACAAGCAACAAACUUUUCACUC